Schistosoma haematobium is the source of this 46-nucleotide non-coding RNA. Lineage: Eukaryota; Metazoa; Platyhelminthes; Trematoda; Strigeidida; Schistosomatidae. The record is from Rfam.
GUACUGUUGACGUGUCCCACAAUAGGACGAAACGGCCGUUCAGUGC